Molecule: ribosomal RNA, 1379 nt
Filed under: metagenome
Description: SSU rRNA
Rfam family: Eukaryotic small subunit ribosomal RNA
Source: RNAcentral
GGAGAGGGAGCCUGAGAAACGGCUACCACAUCUAAGGAAGGCAGCAGGCGCGCAAAUUACCCAAUCCCGGCUCGGGGAGGUAGUGACAAAAAAUAACAAUGCGGGACUCUUAUGAGGCUUCGUAAUUGGAAUGAGUACAUUCUAAAUCCUUUAACGAGGAACUAUUGGAGGGCAAGUCUGGUGCCAGCAGCCGCGGUAAUUCCAGCUCCAAUAGCGUAUAUUAAAGUUGUUGCGUCUAAAAAGCUCGUAGUUUGAAAACUUGCCUUGGCUUACAACAGACGUCUAAGGGCGUCACCGUUUGUCGAGAGCAAAUAUGGGUGACUGUUCUUGCCUUCUUCACUGAUUGGCUCGUAAAAGUCAUCGAAGAUCACUUUGAUUAAAUUAGGGUGCUCAAAGCAAGUAUGCUACUUGAAUAUGAAUGCAUGGAAUGAUGGAAUAUGUUGUUGUUCUAUUUGUUGGUUUUUUGAAUGACGAAAUGAUUGAAAGGAACUGUUGGGGGCAUUCGUAUUGUUGUGAGAGAGGUGAAAUUCUUAGACCAUAGCAAGACGAACUACUGCGAAAGCAUUUGCCAAGAAUGUUUUCAUUGAUCAAGAACGAAAGUUAGAGGUUCGAAGGCGAUCAGAUACCGCCCUAGUUCUAACCAUAAACUAUGCCGACUAGCAAUUUGCUUUGUAUUUUUAUGACUAAGUGAGAGGCCACGGGAAACCAAAGUAGGGUUAUGGGGGAAGUAUGGUUGCAAAGCUGAAACUUAAAGGAAUUGACGGAAGGGCACCACCAGGAGUGGAGCCUGCGGCUUAAUUUGACACAACACGGGAAAGCUUACCUGGUCCUGACACUAGAAGGAUUGACAGAUUGAUAGCUCUUUCUUGAUUUGGUGGAUGGUGGUGCAUGGCCGUUCUUAGUUGGUGGAGUGAUUUGUCUGGUUAAUUCCGAUAACGAACGAGACUCUAGCCUAUUAAAUAAUAUGCGGAAUCAAUUUCUCCCGCGUUAUUUCUUAAUGGGAUCAAGCGUGUUUAACGCUUUGAAACAGAGCAAUAACAGGUCUGUGAUGCCCUUAGAUGUUCGGGGCUGCACGCGCGCUACAUUGAAGAACAAAGUGAGCCCUCUGGCUUUUAACAAAGCUAGAAAUCUUUUAAUGUUCUUCUUAAUGGGGAUAGGGGAUUGCAAUUGUGCCCCUUGAACGAGGAAUUCCCAGUAAGUGCUAGUCAUUAGCUAGUACUGAUUACGUCCCUGCCCUUUGUACACACCGCCCGUCGCUACUACCGAUUGAAUAGUUUAGUGAGAUCAUCUGAGUGUUUGUAUGUGCAUUCUGUGCUUGUAUGGUGUACAAAGAAGAUCAAACUUGAUUAUUUAGAGGAAGUAAAAGUCGUAACAAGGUU